This 1385-nucleotide long non-coding RNA is filed under the name Pogona vitticeps (central bearded dragon). RNAcentral's name for it is "lncRNA (ENSPVIG00000020203.1)". The record is from RNAcentral. Lineage: Eukaryota; Metazoa; Chordata; Lepidosauria; Squamata; Agamidae.
CCCAGACAUUUUGCUCCCUGAAGCAAAAGAUAAGAUGGUACUUCUUCCAUUCUGUGCAGAAAAAUGAGAGCAGAGUCCUUCAGUCAUCAUGUUGCAAUCUCUAGCAGAGCGAACUAGCUUACUUACUCAGCAACACUGACAAGGGAGUAAGAUCCUCCAUGGUACCUGGGAGAAGAAAGUUGGAGAUGAGACAAUCUACGUCGUAUGUGGUUCAUAUGCCUCUGUUUUUUCCGAGAGACAGAGAAGGCCAGACGGCUCAGAAGCUGCCAGAGAAUAACCACUGCUGCUCCCUUCCACCUGCCACUUGGAACAGUUGCCUCACUCUUCCUAAUGGUAGGGCCAGCUAAAUAUUAACUGUGUGCUGAAUGAGUCCCAUCCUCCCAGGCCAUUUGUGAAAUGCACUUUUCAACUCUAGCAUCAGCUGCCUUGGUCUUGUUUGAAACAAAGCAUACUAGAAGAAGACAAUGUUGACAGCAUUUGAUUUUAUGAGAGUUGGUAGGCUGGGAAGUACUAAACUCCCUGGGGAUGAUAAAGAGAAGAGGCAGAGAAACGGAUGCUUUCAGAUCCUGGGACAUCAUCAAAACCAGUUUGGACGUAGACAGCAGCUGGGUGGAGCAAAGAACCGAGCAAAAGAGAUGACUCGUAGACAGCAGCUGGGUGGAGCAAAGAACUGAACAAAAGAGAUGAUGCACUUGUCGGAGUUGGGCUCGGUAGACGUCAGACAGAAAUAACACAGAGAGAACGAGGGAUAGGCGGGGUGAACUGCUGAAGUCGCUGAACUCUCGUGCUCUUUUUGACACCACCACCUCCUGCCCAAGGCUCCUCAAACAAAGAGAUCCUCUCUACAAGAAAUGAGGAACACUUUGAAGCUUCUCUUUGUGAUGAUCUUCCUCUGCUGGCAGAUGUUGUGUUUUGAAGGAGAGGCCGCUGGCAUUCCUACACUGGAAGAAGAGUCUUCCCAGCCAGAAGACCUGCCCUUGAAGAAUGAAGCCCCACCAAGGAGAGCCGUCCAACACUUUGCUGAUUUGAUGAAGAGGGUAAAACUCCACCAGUUCUAUGGCCUGAUGGGGAAACGAGCCAGAGAGCAUCAAGAGGGCAUGUUUACCUAGGACUCACAGAGUGAUGAAACCACAAAGGAGCAUGACAGAGAACUGGGCAAGCAGCCAGCUCCUUCACGCAUCAGUAUCUUAGAGGGAUUCAUCAUUCUAUACCACUUCUGCUGCUGCUUUACAGCCCCAGCGCAUCUUCUGCUGCCUGAUUCUUCCCGCCAGCUCUUCCCCACAAAGGACAAAUGCGUUGAGUGUUUUACAACCCCACUCCUUGUUUUCUGUUGUUAGGCACUUGCCUAAAAUAAAUGUGUUUGCCAAGCUACGGCCUAUAUGCUU